Molecule: ribosomal RNA, 466 nt
Filed under: Vreelandella stevensii
Lineage: Bacteria; Pseudomonadati; Pseudomonadota; Gammaproteobacteria; Oceanospirillales; Halomonadaceae
Description: partial 16S ribosomal RNA
Rfam family: Bacterial small subunit ribosomal RNA
Source: RNAcentral
CCUACGGGUGGCAGCAGUGGGGAAUAUUGGACAAUGGGCGAAAGCCUGAUCCAGCCAUGCCGCGUGUGUGAAGAAGGCCUUCGGGUUGUAAAGCACUUUCAGUGGGGAAGAAAGCCUUGGGGCUAAUACCCUCGAGGAAGGACAUCACCCACAGAAGAAGCACCGGCUAACUCCGUGCCAGCAGCCGCGGUAAUACGGAGGGGUGCGAGCGUUAAUCGGAAUUACUGGGCGUAAAGCGCGCGUAGGCGGUCUGAUAAGCCGGUUGUGAAAGCCCCGGGCUCAACCUGGGAACGGCAUCCGGAACUGUCAGGCUAGAGUGCAGGAGAGGAAGGUAGAAUUCCCGGUGUAGCGGUGAAAUGCGUAGAGAUCGGGAGGAAUACCAGUGGCGAAGGCGGCCUUCUGGACUGACACUGACGCUGAGGUGCGAAAGCGUGGGUAGCAAACAGGAUUAGAUACCCGAGUAGUC